This 253-nucleotide ribosomal RNA is filed under the name uncultured bacterium. RNAcentral describes it as "partial 16S ribosomal RNA". It matches the Rfam family "Bacterial small subunit ribosomal RNA", at positions 524 to 776 of the family's 1533-position model. The record is from RNAcentral.
UACAGAGGUCCCAAGCGUUGUUCGGAUUUACUGGGCGUAAAGGGUGCGUAGGUGGCGAGGUAAGUUUGAUGUGAAAUCUCCGAGCUCAACUCGGAAACGGCAUUGAAUACUAUCCCGCUUGAGGGUCGGAGGGGAGACUGGAAUUCUCGGUGUAGCAGUGAAAUGCGUAGAUAUCGAGAGGAACACCAGUGGCGAAGGCGACUAUCUGGACAGAUACUGACACUGAGACACGAAAGCGUGGGGAGCAAACAGG